This 253-nucleotide ribosomal RNA is filed under the name uncultured bacterium. RNAcentral describes it as "partial 16S ribosomal RNA". It matches the Rfam family "Bacterial small subunit ribosomal RNA", at positions 524 to 776 of the family's 1533-position model. The record is from RNAcentral.
AACGUAGGGGACAAGCGUUGUUCGGAAUUACUGGGCGUAAAGGGCUCGUAGGCGGCCAACUAAGUCAGACGUGAAAUCCCUCAGCUUAACUGGGGAACUGCGUCUGAUACUGGAUGGCUUGGAUCCGGAAGAGGGAUGCGGAAUUCCAGGUGUAGCGGUGAAAUGCGUAGAUAUCAAGAGGAACACCAGUGGCGAAGGCGAGUCCCUGGACAACACCUGACACUGAGGCACGAAAGCUAGGGGAGCAAACAGG